This 763-nucleotide long non-coding RNA is filed under the name Stegodyphus dumicola. RNAcentral describes it as "uncharacterized LOC118204454, transcript variant X2". The record is from RNAcentral. Lineage: Eukaryota; Metazoa; Arthropoda; Arachnida; Araneae; Eresidae.
UUCCUUUAUUUUUAUGUUCUGGACCCUUUUUAACUUCAGGUUUCCAAAUUGCCAGAAAAAUAUUAUUUUUCACUAUUAUUUAGGUAUUUUCAAGGUGGCUAGGUCUGGCUAAAGUUUUACUUUUUCUCUUAAUUACACUCUGUGAAUAGCUAAGCAAAGUAAUCAGUUGACAUUUUUUUUCAACUCUAGUCAAAAAUCUGGAUAUAUAUAAUUCUUUACAGAGUGCAUUCAUUUCCCACGGGGAAAAAUGACAUUAGAAAGUUUUUGCAGUGUCAUCUAGACAAAGAGAGGCCUGGGGAUCUACUAGAGGUACUUUUGAUAGCCGUAGGCUGUAUUAAAUACCUGUCUAUUAUUCGAGGUUCUUCCAUAGUUGUUUAUUGUGGUCUGCUGUCGGGAAGAAAGGGAAUCGAACGGGGUAAGGGUCUUUUCCAAAAAAUUAGUAACGGAACGUUGCGAUGUUUGACAUGAGGCAACUAAGAAAUCAUUACAGCACCUUGAUGUGAUAGACGGAAAGAAGGACAAAAUGGCAGAUUUCUUUUCCUUAGAAAGCAAAAUCAAAGCAUUGACCUUAACGUCUGAAAAGAAAGAAAUCUCCAACAUUUGCUCGGCUGUACAUAUUAGACUUGCUGCAGAAAGAGAGGGAAGAUACAACAUUUUCUAGAAGUUGUUUAUUUUGUAAGCAACACUUUGUUGGUAACAGAUCAUUAUUUUUCAUCAUUUAAUGGAUAACAUAAUUUGUUCAUUGGUGCUCCAGAUAACAUAG